Molecule: ribosomal RNA, 494 nt
Filed under: uncultured bacterium
Lineage: Bacteria
Description: bacterial SSU rRNA
Rfam family: Bacterial small subunit ribosomal RNA
Source: RNAcentral
GAGUUUGAUCUUGGCUCAGGACAAACGCUGGCGGCGUGCAUAAAACAUGCAAGUCGGACGAGCCAAUUCCCGCAAGGGGAAAGGCUAGUGGCGAACGGCUGAGUAACACGUAGGUGACCUGCCCUGAAGUGGGGGAUAACGACUCGAAAGAGUCGCUAAUACCGCAUGUGACCACCGAUUCGUUUUCGGUGCUCAAAGUCGUAAGACGCUUUAGGAGGGGCCUGCGGCGGAUUAGCUAGUUGGUGAGGUAAUGGCCCACCAAGGCUUCGAUCCGUAGCUGGUCUGAGAGGAUGACCAGCCAGACUGGGACUGAGACACGGCCCAGACUCCUACGGGAGGCAGCAGUUAGGAAUUUUGCGCAAUGGGGGGAAACCCUGACGCAGCCACUCCGCGUGCGGGAUGAAGGCCUUCGGUCGUAACCGACCUUUCUCGAGGAGACACCCGACGGUACUCGAGGCAUAAGCAACGGCUAACUACGUGCCAGCCGCCGCGGU